GGUUGACCUCGGAUCAGGUAGGGAUACCCGCUGAACUUAAGCAUAUCAAUAAGCGGAGGAAAAGAAACCAACAGGGAUUGCCCCAGUAACGGCGAGUGAAG
Molecule: ribosomal RNA, 101 nt
Filed under: Penicillium roqueforti
Lineage: Eukaryota; Fungi; Ascomycota; Eurotiomycetes; Eurotiales; Aspergillaceae
Description: partial 28S ribosomal RNA
Rfam family: Eukaryotic large subunit ribosomal RNA
Source: RNAcentral